RNAcentral lists this small RNA (31 nucleotides) under Bombyx mori (domestic silkworm). RNAcentral's name for it is "ovarian small RNA-28407". Lineage: Eukaryota; Metazoa; Arthropoda; Insecta; Lepidoptera; Bombycidae. The record is from RNAcentral.
UCGAGUACGCGCCAGCCCCGGGUACGGCGCA